ACGUAGGGUGCGAGCGUUAAUCGGAAUUACUGGGCGUAAAGCGUGCGCAGGCGGUUCGCUAAGACAGGUGUGAAAGCCCCGGGCUUAACCUGGGAAGUGCGCUGGUGACUGGCUGGCUUGAGUACGGGAGAGGGGGGUGGAAUUCCACGUGUAGCAGUGAAAUGCGUAGUGAUGUGGAGGAACACCGAUGGCGAAGGCAGCCUCCUGGGCCGAUACUGACGCUCAUGCACGAAAGCGUGGGGAGCAAACAG
Molecule: ribosomal RNA, 251 nt
Filed under: uncultured prokaryote
Description: partial 16S ribosomal RNA
Rfam family: Bacterial small subunit ribosomal RNA
Source: RNAcentral